Long non-coding RNA from Nerophis ophidion (straightnose pipefish), 3454 nucleotides. RefSeq lists it as uncharacterized. NCBI's taxonomy places the organism in Eukaryota, Metazoa, Chordata, Actinopteri, Syngnathiformes, Syngnathidae. The transcript has 3 exons. The record is from RefSeq and is a predicted model, not a curated record.
CCCAGGAACCACCAGAUACGGAAAUACAAACACAGAGUGGGUGUAUCCUCCCGGUACUGCUGGAAACAAUCUCUUCCUUUUUUGCUGUUGCUGUUCAAGUUUGUGCCAGACGGACCUUUUUUGUCAAUCCAUCAUCUCUUGACAUAACUAACAUCUUUUCAUCACAGCAAAGUGCUGAAAGCAUCGUCGUCAUGUCAUGACAUUGCUGAGGAGCAGAGGAGCAUGUUCGGCAGCGCACAAUCCUGGAGUACUUACAAGCAGAUACAGUGUGUAGGCAGAAAAGGGAGAAUGGUCGCAUUUUGGCUUAAAAACUAACGAUAAAGGUGAAGCUAUAACACUGAAACGCCCUCAGGAAGAGGUGCAUUAAAUCAUUGCUAGCUAGUUAGCGGCUAAUAUCCAUUCAUAAUUGGCAGUGUUUUAGCUACUUCUAAAUCACUAAUCCUGGCCUCCAUGGGGACAAAAUUAAGCGAGUUUCUAACAAGUAUCAUCGCUGCAGGACGAGGAAUAGCUCACCGGUGUGACGAUGCAAACAAACGCCAUGGGUGGAUCUACACCUGACAUCCACUGUAUCAAUCAAUCAAUCAAUCAAUGUUUAUCUAUAUAGCCCCAAAUCACAAAUGUCUCAAAGGACUGCACAAAUCAUUACGACUACAACAUUCUCGGAAGAACCCACAAAAGGGCAAGGAAAACUCACACCCAGUGGGCAGGGAGAAUUCACAUCCAGUGGGACGCCAGUGACAAUGCUGACUAUGAGAAACCUUGGAGAGGACCUCAGAUGUGGGCAACCCCCCCCCCUCUAGGGGACCGAAAGCAAUGGAUGUCGAUACCAAGUAACGAUACCAUGUACAAGAGCGUAUCUAGUCGAUUCCAAUAUGAUUACAUCUAUAUUUCUUUUGGUCAGAAAAAAUAACAUAAAAAAAUCAUAUUAUGUUUAUAAACUUAGUAAAUAUGUCCCUGGACAAAUGAGUACUUAAAUUAUGACCAAUGUAUGACCCUGUAACUACUUGGUAUCAGAUCAAUACCUACAUUUGUGGUAUCAUCCAAAACUAAUGUAUAGCAUCCAAACAGAAGAAUAAGUGAUUAUAACAUUUCAAUAGAGGUGUAGAUACAACCUUUUGAAACAGAAAAUAAGCAGAUAUUAACAGUAAAUGAACAAGUAGAUUAAUAAUCAUUUUUGCAUGCUCAUUCUGAAGAAGGCGAAAAGCUUGUCACACCGAGACAUGGAUUAUUUUUGCUUCUUCGAUGCAAGGAGAAUACGGGACGAGCCAGACGUUACUGUGAGUACACGGUUUAUUUGGAAUGCUAAAUACAAAAAUAAUCGAACUAAGGGCGCUCACAAAGAGGUACAAAACUUGGCUACAAAAAUACAAGCAGGAAAACAAAACACCUCCUCGAUGGCAUGAAAGACGAUAAACUAUAAACUUAAACUUGCACUGUGGCAGAACUAUGAACAACUAAAACAAAAACACUUACUGUGACCGAAACAAGGGGCAUGGAUAGCAGGGUGCGUAGCAGGUAAUCAUGAAGGCAUGAAGGCAAGCACAUGCAAAAAUCCCAGACUGAUGGACAGAAAGUAAAAUGCUUAAAUAGUGGCAGUGGUAAUGAGGAACAGGUAAUGAGGGCAUGGGCGUGACUAGGAGGGCAAGGUGAAAAUCAAUGAGUUGUCAUGGUAACAAAAACAAACCAGGAAGUGAAAAAAACGGGACAAGAGUCCAGAAAACAAAACAAAACAUGAUCAAACAUAAAACCAGAUUUAUAGGCGUGACAAAGCUAAACAGUCGAUGACAGUUGUGGUUGCUCAGAGUUGUCAGUGCUAACAAAAAGCUAUAGAAGCAAAGGUGUCAAAAGUGUGGCCAUUUAGCUUGUUUUUUAUUGGCUUGUGAAACAUUGCGAAUAAUUCAAACAAAAAAAAAAAUAAAGCUAAAGGCACAAUGAAAAAAAAAGCCCUACAUGUUCAUUCUAAUAACGGAUACAAGCCCAAUAUCCUGUUUUAAAAGCAGCUUCUCAAAAUGUUGUGUUCAUGUCCUAAUAUUUGAUCAAAUUUCAAGGCAAUUCUUGUAAUUUUACACUCAAUUUGAGCCUUUUCACGUUCUUUCCCAGUUGAAUGGACAACCACCAUGGCUGUCCAUUCAACUAGGGAUGUCCUGAUACAACCGUUUCAGUUCAUGAUAUUGACAUUGGACUCUUGAGUAUUGACCAAAACUGAUCCAACCCAAAUUGUUGGAAUUUAUUUACAUUUUAACUUUUCAAUUAUUUCAUUAACAGACAACAAUAAACUCAAACAUUCUGAAUAUUAUUUUUUUUUUUUUACAAAAAAUCUGUCCAACACAACAUGAAAAUGAGGCCAAUAAAACUAAGCCAGAGGUCAGCAACCCAAAAUGUUAAAAAGAGCCAUAUUGAAGCAAAAAUACAAAAACAUUUAAAAAAAAAAAUCUGCCUGGAUCCGCAAAAAUUCAAAAGUCUUAUAUGUGUAUCGGCUUGGGACAUCUCUGCGCUGCUGAUCCGCCUCCGCUUGAGAUGGUUUCCUGCUGGCUCCGCUGUGGACGGGACUCUCGCUGCUGUGUUGGAUCCGCUUUGGACUGGACUCUCGCGGCUAUGUUGGAUCCACUAUGGAUUGAACUUUCACGGUAUCAUGUUAGACCCGCUCGACAUCCAUUGCUUUCGUCCUCUCAAGGUUCUCAUAGUCAUCAUUGUCACCGACGUCCCACUGGGUGUGAGUUUUCCUUGCCCUUAUGUGGGCCUACCGAGGAUGUCGUAGUGGUUUGUGUUGUGGUUUGUGCAGCCCUUUGAGACACUAGUGAUUUAGGGCUAUAUAAGUAAAUAUUGAUUGAUUGAUUGAUAUACUGUGUUAUAAUGAAGGCAACAGUGAUAUAAGUGUCUAUAUUAGUUAUAUUAGACAAUCAAAAUUACUGUUCUGUGUGACUGCCAUCUACUGCUCACACUUAUCAUUACACCAUGUACCAAAUAAAAUUGCUUGAAGGUCGGUAAGCACAACCAGAAUUAUUCCGUAUAUUAGGGUCACCGGGUUAUAAGCCGCACUGUUCGAAUUUUGAGAAAAUGAAAGGAUUUUAAGUAAACCUUAUAGUAGAAAAAAUACAGUAAAUGCAAGAUGAUAUAAUCUAAUACUUGUUUUUUUUUUCUUGUAUUGGACUGAUCUCAGAUAUCAAUAUUGGAUCAGUAGACCCCUAGUUUCAAUUGAGUUUUCAGAUUGUUUUGACCUCACUGAAGAUCUUAAACUCCCCCAAUCAUGAGACCCAAGAAUGAGGAUUUUAAACACUGAGAGCUGUAGCAAUUCUUGAUUUGGCCCACUAAUCCUCUUCUGUGGUAUAGUUUUGAUUUAACAUGGAUGUUUUUAUUUGCCAUUGGCAAAUUUUAAUUGACGUCUACCAAUUUUGGUCUAUUUAAAGGGGAACAUUAUCACAAUUUCUGAAGGGUUAAAACCAAUAAAAAUCAG